Molecule: RNA transcript, 1215 nt
Organism: Echinops telfairi (small Madagascar hedgehog)
Lineage: Eukaryota; Metazoa; Chordata; Mammalia; Afrosoricida; Tenrecidae
Gene: CENPM
Gene name: centromere protein M
Exons: 7
Source: RefSeq, a predicted model, not a curated record
GUCUGUCGGCGACGAGGAUGUCAGUGUUGAGGCCGCUGGACCAGCUGCCGGGCCUGAACACGGCCACCGUCUUGCUGGUGAGCACCGAGGAUGCCCUUCUGCAGCAGCUGGCGGACUCCAUGCUCCGAGAGGAUUGCCCCUCCCAGCUGAUGAUCCACUUGGCAAGGUCUCUCCCCCUGCCCUCCAAUGUGACUCGGCCCCGAAUUGACCUGGUCGUGUUCGUGGUCAACCUUCACAACAAGUACAGCCUCCAGAAUGUUCAGGAGUCCCUGUGCCAUGUGGACGCCAACUUCUUCCUGGGGAAGGUGUGCUUCCUGGCCACUGGUGCCAGCCAGGAGAACCAGUGCAGCAUCCACCACAACACCAUCCUGAAGCUGGCCCACGCCUACCGCAGCCCCCUGCUCUUCUGUGACCUGACGACGAAAGACUUCCAGUUCAGCGUGGCACAGCGCCUGGUGCGGAUGCUGCAGGUCUGCGCCGGCCACAUUCCUGGCGUCUCGUCCCUGAAUCUGCUGUCGCUGAUGAAGACCUCCGAGAUCCCCUCCCUGGAGGACCUGUGAGGGACCCGCUCCACGGCCGUGUCCAGGCACACACCCCCACACAUAGUCCCCCUCACUCCAGCAGAGCUGCUUCCUGCUCCUGACAUGCUACACUUGUCCACUGAAGAUUGCAUUCGAACCAGGGGUCCACUGCCGUCUGCCACCAUUCGCUUGUACAGGCGAGGAAACGCUCAGACCUUUGGGGCCCCUUUGCCACCUGCGCCAUUGAAGAGAAGUGGCAUUGAUUCCCCAGCCAAGGUUCUGGGAGCCUUCCAAGUGCUGUGGGAACAAGAUGCUGUCACUGCCGCAGCUCCAGCUGAGCUUGGCAGUGCCCCUCGCACCAGAAGCCCCUGCUCUGAGGGUGGAACUGGCCAGGCCUGGCCUGGGGCAGAGCUAGGUGCCACUGAGAAGGUGUCAGGGAGCCCCUCGGGCCGGCUGGAGGCCAGCAAGACCACCCACUCCAGGCAAUCUGAGGGAGCAGCCAUCUUUACCCCGUGACCGUGUGCCCACAAGUGGUGCUGAGGUGCUAAGAGCAGCCGGCUCAGCCGCUUAGUGGCCUAUUUCCUCAUCUCAAUGGGGUCCGGCCAACUAAUGCCUUCCUCCCUACCAUGUUGUGAGGAUUGAAAAUGAGGAACACCCUCCCUUUAUUGUAAAUAUAAAGUUUGAAGCAAAUGAA